UGCGCAGACUCUAUGUUUGCUCACCGCCCGCCGCCAUCUUCCUGUCAACUGUUGUAUUUUUACUGAAUUAGCAGACAAGUGGUGCACUGACUGAGCUGGAAUUAUGGGGAGAAAGAAGAAAAAGCAAAUGAAACCUUGGUGCUGGUACUGUAACAGAGACUUUGAUGAUGAAAAGAUUCUCAUUCAGCAUCAGAAGGCCAAACAUUUCAAGUGCCACAUCUGUCAUAAAAAGCUGUACACUGGACCCGGACUGGCAAUCCACUGUAUGCAGGUACAUAAAGAGACCAUUGACGGAGUCCCCAAUGCAAUACCUGGAAGGACAGAUAUUGAACUGGAAAUAUAUGGCAUGGAGGGUAUUCCAGAAAAAGACAUGGAGGAGAGGAGGAGAGUGCUGGAACAAAAGAACCAAGAGACUCAGAAGAAAAAGCAGAACCAGGAUGAUUCUGAUGAGUACGAUGAUGAUGAUGAACCUGGUCCCUCCUUCCAGCAGCCUGCAGCGGGUCAGCCUCAGGCCGGCUACAUCCCCCCUAUGACCCAGCCUGGCAUACCUCCAGGCUCUGGUGCUCCAGGGAUACCGCCAGGCAGCUACUCAGGAAUUCCCCCGAUGAUGCCAGGAGUCCCACCAAUGAUGCCAGGAAUGCCCCCUGUAAUGCCAGGGAUGCCUCCAGGGAUGAUACCGAUGGGUGGAAUGAUGCCUCCGAUGAUGCCAGGUGUGCCACCAGGCCUUCCUCCUCCAGUGGGUCACCGUCCAGGCCUGACACACAUGCCUCAGGUCCCGCCGACUGCAAACGUGCUAACCAGACCUGCGGUUUCUGUUGUGACUGCUCUGUCAGCCCAGCAGGAUGUCACUAAGCCUCUGUUCCCCAGUGCUGGACAGAUGGGAAGUCGAGUUGCAAGUACAAGUGCAUCAAGUGCAGAUUCUCAGUCUGCUUCCCCUAACGCUCUGUUCACAUCCCAAAGUCAGCAGACUGUGUCAGGCUCCCCCCACACUCCCCCAUCCACCUCCUCUGACCCCUUAAAGCCCACAUUCCCAGCCUACACUCAGGCCUCUGCAGCUGUAUCCAGCCCCAACGCUGGCAGCAGUACAGUCUCCAAACCUCCCUCCACUGUGACCAGUAAGCCCGCCACGCUCACCACCUCCAGUGCAACCAGUAAGUUGAUCCACCCUGAUGAGGAUGUCUCACUGGAGGAGUUGCGGGCUCAGCUCCCCAGAUACCAGAGCAGUAUUCCCCGCCAAGGCCAGACCACCUCUGCUGCCCCGUCAGUGGGUCCUGUGGGCGGCAUAUUGGCUCCUCAACAGCACAGCAUGAGGCAUCCCAUACCUGGCCAGUUCGGUGGUCCACCCCAGGGGAUGCCGGGCUUCAUGCCUGGACGGAUGCCUCCAUACGGACAGGCCCCACCUGUAGUUCCACCGGGGUACCAGGGAGCCCCUCCACGGCCGCCCAUGGGGAUGAGACCCCCUGUCAUGUCUCCAGGAGGUCGCUACUGAAGGCUGCCUUCCUCUCUUCAAUAGGUGUAUAGAAGUGUAGUAGAUAUGGUUCGUAGUGUUGUGAAGGCGCUGGAGUUACAUGGGCAGUACCCACCCUUUAUCAAGCAAUGCCAUGGGGGACUGGCUGAGGCCCUGUCUCAGUGUAGCCCUGUUUCAGCCUGAGGCAAGUCUCACCAUUUUCUGUCUUCUCAUUCAUUACCAGGGGCCCUCACAGCUGAUGGCUGUUGGAUAUCAAUGUCCCCAAACUUGCAGCAAGUUUGGUGAAGGCCCUUGUUUGUGUUGUUGCGUUUAGGCAUCUUUAUCUUCAGGCAUGUUAGCUCAUGUAAAUCUCUCCUUUCUUGUUAAGCUGUUAUCUGCCACAUCUUCCAUUCUUUACUGAUGAAAGCAUCAGAAGCUUUGUUUUCAUUUAAUGGCUCUUUGCUGAUAAUGCAGAGCUUUUAAAUGAAACUAUAUUCCUUUAGAAGCUAAGAAUAUUGGCUACUCCUAAAGUCCACCGUAAUGUUAUAUUUAUGAAAUAUUCACUUCUUGGUCAAAAUGAUUGGAGUUCCACAUUAGCACCACCAUUACACCUGCAGCCAGUUUACUAAUUAAAUGUGUGUUGGGGAGUUUGGAUGAACAAAUGAGUCUUUAUGUUUGUAAAAUGGCUUUACUCCUUAAUCCUGUUUGUUUCAUCAGCUUUCCUCACUUGAUCAUUUGAUUUUAACCUUUACAUGAAGAUGAAUCUCUGCCAGUAACAGGUUAGUUAAAGCUGUAAGUACCACUAAUGUAACUUUAAUUUCCAUCAUGCUGUGUUUGGCGUGCACAUGAUUCAGUUCUCAAGCAUUUUACACUGAUGGCAGCCAAUCAGUUAAGGAAUUCCCCAAAAGUUGUAGUCCACACUAUGAUGUGCAACACAAUUGGCCACUACUUAUGGAACAUUUCAGCGUUAUUUUUGGAGACAUUAACUUCUGUUAAAACCAGUUUCAAUGCCACACAGUUAAAGUUAAGCAGACAGUCUUCUUAGGUAAGUAUGGUAUCAUGUAUGCAAAAGUAUUAAACUUUUUCCUGCUGCAGAAUACAGAACACUGUUUCAUAAAAAGAUUUCUGUUUGUUUGGCGUUUACUUAUUUCAUAACUUGUCUAAAUGUGAUGGUACCAGGAAACUUUGGAAGAAUCAAAACUGCUUUAGUGUUUUAGCAUCUGUCUCACUGCAGGAUAUAUUUUUCUUGCAACAUCUGUACUAUUAAAGUCUGAAUGCUUACUUAAAAAAAUAAACAAAUGUAUAAACUGUAA
This is an RNA transcript of Acanthochromis polyacanthus (spiny chromis), 2760 nucleotides long. It is a transcript of the gene named zinc finger protein 207, a, with no coding region annotated. The record is from RefSeq and is a predicted model, not a curated record. The transcript has 13 exons. Lineage: Eukaryota; Metazoa; Chordata; Actinopteri; Pomacentridae.